CGGGAACCUCGGCGGUACCGGGGGGAUGCUGAGGGGAGCCCUCAGGUGCCUCGUGUGUUUGCUGGCAGCUGGAAAAGGUGCACAGAGCUCCUGGGAGCCUGCAGGGGCUGGGAUGGAAAUCCAAGCAGCGCGGGGAGGAUCCAACCCCUCAAAGUGAAUUUUUCCAGCCCAGUUUUUCCUUUUAUUAUGAUUUAUUCCUCAAGGAUCCUUUCCUAGG
Cinclus cinclus is the source of this 217-nucleotide long non-coding RNA. RefSeq lists it as uncharacterized. NCBI's taxonomy places the organism in Eukaryota, Metazoa, Chordata, Aves, Passeriformes, Cinclidae. The transcript is spliced from 3 exons. The record is from RefSeq and is a predicted model, not a curated record.